This 2150-nucleotide ribosomal RNA is filed under the name Chattonella subsalsa. Its description in RNAcentral is "partial Bacterial large subunit ribosomal RNA". It matches the Rfam family "Bacterial large subunit ribosomal RNA", at positions 1 to 1971 of the family's 2925-position model. The record is from RNAcentral. Lineage: Eukaryota; Raphidophyceae; Chattonellales; Chattonellaceae.
GCAAGUUUUUAAGGGCGCACGGUGGAUGCCUUGGCAUCAGGAGCCGAUGAAGGACGCGGUAAUCUGCGAUAAGCCUCGGGGAGCUGAUAAACGAGCUGUGAUCCGAGGGUCUCCGAAUGGGGAAACCCCACUACGUGUUAUGCGUGGUGACCCGCACCUGAAUUCAUAGGGUGUGUGGAGGGAACGUGGGGAAGUGAAACAUCUCAGUACCCACAGGAAGAGAAAACAACAGUGAUUCCGUCAGUAGUGGCGAGCGAACGCGGAAGAGGCCAAACCGAUGGUGUGUGAUACCCGGCAGGGGUUGCAUCAUCGGGGUCGUGGGGCGUGUCGUCCCGGGUCUGCCGGCCCGGGCGUGUGAGUGCAGGGCGAUAGUCGAACCGGUGUGAGUGCCGGACCGGAGAGGGUGAGAGUCCCGUAGACGAAAUCGUUGCUGCCGCACGGUACGCGUACCCAAGUAGCACGGGGCCCGAGAAAUCCCGUGUGAAUCUGCCAGGACCACCUGGUAAGCCUAAAUACUACCUGAUGACCGAUAGCGGACUAGUACCGUGAGGGAAAGGUGAAAAGCACCCCGACGAGGGGAGUGAAACAGAUCCUGAAACCGGACGCCUACAAGCAGUCGGAGCCGCCUUGCGCGGUGACGGCGUACCUUUUGUAUAAUGGGUCAGCGACUUUGUCUCUCGAGCAAGCUUAAGCCGGUAGGUGUAGGCGCAGCGAAAGCGAGUCUGAAUAGGGCGACGAGUUCGAGGGAUAAGACCCGAAACCGAGUGAUCUAGCCAUGUGCAGGUUGAAGGUGCGGUAACACGCACUGGAGGACCGAACCCACGUCUGUUGAAAAAGACGGGGAUGACGUGUGGCUAGGGGUGAAAGGCCAAUCAAACUUCGUGAUAGCUGGUUCUCCCCGAAAUGCAUUUAGGUGCAGCGUUACGUGUUUCUUGCCGGAGGUAGAGCUACUGGAUGGCCGAUGGGCCCUACAAGGUUACUGACGUCAGCCAAACUCCGAAUGCCGGUAAGUGAGAGCGUAGCAGUGAGACUGUGGGGGAUAAGCUUCAUAGUCGAGAGGGAAACAGCCCAGACCACCAACUAAGGCCCCUAAGCGUGUGCUAAGUGGGAAAGGAUGUGGAGUUGCUUAGACAACCAGGAGGUUGGCUUAGAAGCAGCCACCCUUGAAAGAGUGCGUAAUAGCUCACUGGUCAAGUGAUUCCGCGCCGACAAUGUAGCGGGGCUCAAGUACACCGCCGAAGUUGUGGCAUUGCACCAAUGAUACCCAACCGGUCUUCGGACCGGUUCAGGUGGUGCGAUGGGUAGGGGAGCGUCGUGUGGGCAGUGAAGCUGCGGGGUGACCCAGUGGUGGAGCCCACACGAGUGAGAAUGCAGGCAUGAGUAGCGAAUGACGGGUGAGAAACCCGUCCGCCGGAUGAUCAAGGGUUCCAGGGUCAAGCUAAUCUGCCCUGGGUCAGUCGGGACCUAAGGCGAGGCCGACAGGCGUAGUCGAUGGACAACGGGUUGAUAUUCCCGUACCGGCGUAUGAACGAUCAUGCCGAGGCGAACGAUGCUGAGCUCGCAAGUUGCGUGGCGACCUUCGGGUCAAUACGUGAUGAGCCUGCGACCCAGAUUCGUAUUAGGCAAGCUGCGGAGUGACGCAGGAAGGUAGCCCAUCCCGGGCGAUGGUAGUCCCGGGCUAAAUGUGUAGGGUCAGGUGUAGGCAAAUCCGCAUCUGGUGUGCCUGAGACAUGAUGGCUGGACGAUCUACGGAUCGUCGAGUGGGUGAUCCUAUGCUGCCUAGAAAACCUUCGUGAGCGAGUUCAUGAGCCGCCCGUACCCUAAACCGACACAGGUGGUCAGGUAGAGAAUACCAAGGCGCUUGAGAGAACUCGGGUGAAGGAACUAGGCAAAAUGGUACCGUAACUUCGGGAGAAGGUACGCCCCUGGUAUGUGUAAGGACUUGCUCCUGAAGCAGAAGGGGGUUGCAGUGACCAGUUGGCUGCGACUGUUUAGCAAAAACACAGCACUCUGCAAACUCGUAAGAGGACGUAUAGGGUGUGACGCCUGCCCGGUGCCGGAAGGUUAAAAGGAGGGGUGAGAGCUCCGAAUUGAAGCCCCGGUAAACGGCGGCCGUAACUAUAACGGUCCUAAGGUAGCGAAAUUCCUUG